This 238-nucleotide ribosomal RNA is filed under the name uncultured bacterium. RNAcentral describes it as "partial 16S ribosomal RNA". It matches the Rfam family "Bacterial small subunit ribosomal RNA", at positions 96 to 334 of the family's 1533-position model. The record is from RNAcentral.
CGGCGGACGGGUGAGUAACGCGGGGGUAACCUGCCUCAUACAGGGGGAUAACAGUUGGAAACGGCUGCUAAUACCGCAUAAGCGCACAGUACCGCAUGGUACGGUGUGAAAAACUCCGGUGGUAUGAGAUGGACCCGCGUCUGAUUAGGUAGUUGGUGGGGUAACGGCCUACCAAGCCGACGAUCAGUAGCCGACCUGAGAGGGUGACCGGCCACAUUGGGACUGAGACACGGCCCAA